GCCUGGGUGGCUCAGUCGGUUAAGCGUCUGACUUUGGCUCAGGUCAUGAUCUCCUGGUUCGUGAGUUCAAGCCUCGUGUCGGGCU
RNAcentral lists this transfer RNA (85 nucleotides) under Felis catus (domestic cat). It matches the Rfam family "tRNA". Rfam says of the family: Transfer RNA (tRNA) molecules are approximately 80 nucleotides in length. The record is from Rfam by way of RNAcentral. Lineage: Eukaryota; Metazoa; Chordata; Mammalia; Carnivora; Felidae.